UAUUUCUAUAAAUGAGUGAAAAGUGCGCUUUUUACACACAUACCGUGACGUCCUAAGACCAACAUCCAAUACACUAACAGUGUAUGUUGGUAUAAGAUGCGGUGGUAACUAAUUAUAUAGAAUUGCAUUGACACGCAGAUUACGUAAGUAAAAUUUCAAUUCAUUCGACAACAGGAAGUACAGGAACCCUCUUAAAGUCACGGAAAAUAUGAAACAGACAUACAGACAACACAGCAACUUUAAAGUUACUAAGAAAUAGGGUGUUCCACUUAACUCUUUCAAGCUUUUCAAUUUUUAAAAAACUUCUUAAUUUUCUUACGUUUCUAACUGUAAUAUGCUAAAGAAUUUAAUUUUGAACUUUUCCAAUUAAAGUGGUGAAAAUCCUAACUUUUCUAGUUUAGUUUUUAAAAAACAUGUGUUCGUCAAAAUGUCAAAUUAUUUCAAAAAUUAAGCAGAGUCGACCAUUAAAAGAUUGUAGCUUAUUUCUCAAACACCCUACACAGGGAGUCUCAAAAUUAGCCAAUUCCGAGUUCAGAACAUCGUAAAGAAUCACUUUAGAAGUCCAAAUAUAGAAAAAAAAAAGGAUUCGGGGAUUUCGUUUUUUCGAAAAGAUUCAGGUUUAUUGUUAUUUAUGGUGUAGGUGACUGUGGAGAAUAAUAAUGUAAAACAAUUUCGCAAAAAAUUGCAUUAUUUUGGAUGAAAAAAUUUUAAAUUUUGUAAUUUUCCGUUUCAUUUUUAAGAAAAAUUUACAAAAAUUUAGAAUUUCUUACUCUUAAAUUAAGCUAAUUUUUCGAGGAUAUGUUUUACAUUAUUAUCUUCCACAAUCAUCUACAGUUCUACAACAUACAGAACAAUUAUUACUGAAAUUUUUGGCUUGUAUUUGUAGAAAAUAAAUCAAAAUGCACCUGAAGUGAAGCUUCAAACCAAUAUAUCUUUGUGGGGAAGCCCCGAAUUUUUAUUUAGUUUCUAUUAGCUGUUUCAAAACUAUAAAGACGCCAACGUCGCAUUUUACCUAAUAUUUUUUUUAAAUAAGAUUGAUAAAAUUGUAAGAUAGUUUUGAAACAGCUAAUACAUUUAGACUACUGAAGUGAUUCUCGACAACGCUCUGAACUUGGAAUUCGCCAAUUUUGAAAAUAAUUUUAGGUGUUGCAAGGAUGUAGCUUAGGUAAAAAUGGACUUUUCCAACGUGCUGGGACUGCAAGCUAAGUCUGCUAAACGCAUUUUUACUGUAGUCUCAUAAAAAUUAUUAAAUACUCAUACUUUGUGUCUAUUUUUUUAGAAUUCCUUAUGAUAGGUAAUAUUAAAUUUUAACAUUAAGGUA
This is a long non-coding RNA of Tribolium castaneum (red flour beetle), 1321 nucleotides long. RefSeq lists it as uncharacterized. The record is from RefSeq and is a predicted model, not a curated record. The transcript has 2 exons. Lineage: Eukaryota; Metazoa; Arthropoda; Insecta; Coleoptera; Tenebrionidae.